CUCGCGAUAGCUCAGUUGGUAGAGCGGAGGACUGUAGUGGGCAGUAUAAGAUAUCCUUAGGUCGCUGGUUCAAAUCCGGCUCGCGAGA
This is a non-coding RNA of Lingula anatina, 88 nucleotides long. Lineage: Eukaryota; Metazoa; Brachiopoda; Lingulata; Lingulida; Lingulidae. The record is from Rfam.